Molecule: ribosomal RNA, 466 nt
Filed under: uncultured bacterium
Lineage: Bacteria
Description: bacterial SSU rRNA
Rfam family: Bacterial small subunit ribosomal RNA
Source: RNAcentral
AAUCAACGCUGGCGGCGUGCCUCAGACAUGCAAGUCGAACGAUUAAACUUUCCUUCGGGAAAGAUAUAAAGUGGCGCACGGGUGAGUAACACGUAGGUAAUGUACCUUUGGGUGGGGAAUAACUUAGGGAAACUUAAGCUAAUACCGCAUAAUGCAGCGGCUCCUUCGGGAGACAGUUGUUAAAGAUUUAUCGCCUAAAGAGCAGCCUGCGGCAGAUUAGCUAGUUGGUAAGGUAACGGCUACCAAGGCUACGAUCUGUAUCCGACCUGAGAGGGUGGUCGGACACACUGACACUGAAUAACGGGUCAGACUCCUACGGGAGGCAGCAGUCGGGAAUUUUGGGCAAUGGGCGAAAGCCUGACCCAGCAACGCCGCGUGAAGGAUGAAGUCUUUCGGAUGUAAACUUCGUAAGAAUAGGAAGAAUAAAUGACGGUACUAUUUGUAAGGUCCGGCUAACUACGUGCCA